Molecule: ribosomal RNA, 465 nt
Filed under: uncultured archaeon AOC672
Lineage: Archaea; Methanobacteriati; Methanobacteriota; Methanomicrobia; Methanomicrobiales
Description: bacterial SSU rRNA
Rfam family: Archaeal small subunit ribosomal RNA
Source: RNAcentral
GGGAAACCGCGAUAAGGGGAUACCGAGUGCCAGCAUAUUAUGUUGGCUGUCCACAUGUGUAACGGCAUGUGUUAGCAAGGGCCGGGCAAGACCGUUGCCAGCCGCCGCGGUAACACCGGCGGCCCGAGUGGUAAUCAUUUUUAUUGGGUCUAAAGGGUCCGUAGCCGGUUUGAUCAGUUCUUCGGGAAAUCUGACAGCUCAACUGUUAGGCUUCCGGGGAAUACUGUCAGACUUGGGACCGGGAGAGGUAAGAGGUACUACAGGGGUAGGAGUGAAAUCUUGUAAUCCCUGUGGGACCACCAGUGGCGAAGGCGUCUUACCAGAACGGGUCCGACGGUGAGGGACGAAAGCUGGGGGCACGAACCGGAUUAGAUACCCGGGUAGUCCCAGCCGUUAACGAUGUUCGCUAGGUGUCAGGGACGGUGCGACCGUUUCUGGUGCCGUAGGGAAGCCGUGAAGCGAGCC